CAGUAGCCGCGGUAAUACGGAGGGAGCUAGCGUUGUUCGGAAUUACUGGGCGUAAAGCGCACGUAGGCGGCUAUUCAAGUCAGGGGUGAAAGCCCGGGGCUCAACCCCGGAACUGCCUUUGAAACUAGAUAGCUUAAAUUUUGGAGAGGCGAGUGGAAUUCCGAGUGUAGAGGUGAAAUUCGUAGAUAUUCGGAAGAACACCAGUGGCGAAGGCGACUCGCUGGACAAGUAUUGACGCUGAGGUGCGAAGCGUGGGGAGCAAACAGGAUUAGAUACCCCGGUAGUCCCUGUCUCUUAUACC
RNAcentral lists this ribosomal RNA (301 nucleotides) under uncultured bacterium. RNAcentral describes it as "partial 16S ribosomal RNA". It matches the Rfam family "Bacterial small subunit ribosomal RNA", at positions 509 to 808 of the family's 1533-position model. The record is from RNAcentral.